GACGAACGCUGGCGGCGUGCUUAACACAUGCAAGUCGAACGGAAAGGCCUCUUUCGGGGGGUACUCGAGUGGCGAACGGGUGAGUAACACGUGAGUAACCUGCCCUUGACGUUGGGAUAACUUCAGGAAACUGGGGCUAAUACCGGAUAGGAGCUCCUGCUGCAUGGUGGGGGUUGGAAAGUUUCGGCGGUUGGGGAUGGACUCGCGGCUUAUCAGCUUGUUGGUGGGGUAGUGGCUUACCAAGGCUUUGACGGGUAGCCGGCCUGAGAGGGUGACCGGCCACAUUGGGACUGUGAGACGGCCCAGACUCCGACGGGAGGCAGCAGUGGGGAAUAUUUCACAAUGGGUGGAAGCCUGAUGCAGCAACGCCGUGUGCGGGAUGACGGCCUUCGGGUUGUAAACCGCUUUCGCUCAUGACGAAGCUUUGUGUGACGGUAGUGGGUAAAGAAGCACCGGCUAACUACGUG
Molecule: ribosomal RNA, 467 nt
Filed under: uncultured bacterium
Lineage: Bacteria
Description: partial 16S ribosomal RNA
Rfam family: Bacterial small subunit ribosomal RNA
Source: RNAcentral